This 376-nucleotide ribosomal RNA is filed under the name uncultured bacterium. Its description in RNAcentral is "bacterial SSU rRNA". It matches the Rfam family "Bacterial small subunit ribosomal RNA", at positions 29 to 387 of the family's 1533-position model. The record is from RNAcentral.
AACGAACGCUGGCGGUGUGCCUCAUACAUGCAAGUCGUACGCGAAUCCUGCCGCAAGGCAGGGUUUGAGUGGCAAACGGGUGCGUAACACGUAGGUAAUCUUCCUUUGAGUUGGGGAUAAGCCCUCGAAAGGGGGUCUAAUACCGAAUAACACUUCGGGCCGGCAUCGGCCUGAAAUUAAAGAUGGCCUCUGCUUGCAAGCUAUCGCUCGGAGAUGAGCCUGCGGCCGAUUAGUUAGUUGGCGGGAUAAAAGCCCACCAAGACUUCGAUCGGUAGCCGGUCUGAGAGGAUGUCCGGCCACACUGGGACUGAGAUACGGCCCAGACUCCUACGGGAGGCAGCAGUAGGGAAUAUUGCGCAAUGGCCGCAAGGCUGAC